Molecule: ribosomal RNA, 253 nt
Filed under: uncultured bacterium
Lineage: Bacteria
Description: partial 16S ribosomal RNA
Rfam family: Bacterial small subunit ribosomal RNA
Source: RNAcentral
UACAGAGGGGGCAAGCGUUGUUCGGAAUUACUGGGCGUAAAGGGCGCGUAGGCGGCCUUCUAAGUCGAACGUGAAAUCCCCGGGCUCAACCCGGGAACUGCGUCCGAUACUGGAAGGCUUGAAUCCGGGAGAGGGAUGCGGAAUUCCAGGUGUAGCGGUGAAAUGCGUAGAUAUCAGGAGGAACACCAAUGGCGAAGGCAGCUCGCUGGGACGGUACUGACGCUGAGGCGCGAAAGCGUGGGGAGCAAACAGG